Molecule: ribosomal RNA, 253 nt
Filed under: uncultured bacterium
Lineage: Bacteria
Description: partial 16S ribosomal RNA
Rfam family: Bacterial small subunit ribosomal RNA
Source: RNAcentral
UACGAAGGGGGCUAGCGUUGUUCGGAAUUACUGGGCGUAAAGCGUGCGCAGGCGGCUUCUCAAGUCAGGGGUGAAAGCCCAGAGCUCAACUCUGGAAUUGCCUUUGAGACUGAGUGGCUUGAGUACGAGAGAGGUGAGUGGAAUUCCCGGUGUAGCAGUGAAAUGCGUAGAGAUCGGGAGGAACAUCAGUUGCGAAGGCGGCUCUCUGGACCAGCACUGACACUGAGGCACGAAAGCGUGGGGAGCAAACAGG